CCUGAUGAUCAUAGUAUGUUGGUACCACACCUUCCCAUUCCGAACAGGACCGUGAAACGACUCUACGCCGAUGAUAGUACGGAUUUCCCGUGUGAAAGUAGGUAAUUGUCAGGC
RNAcentral lists this ribosomal RNA (114 nucleotides) under Burkholderia sp. The record is from RNAcentral. Lineage: Bacteria; Pseudomonadati; Pseudomonadota; Betaproteobacteria; Burkholderiales; Burkholderiaceae.